UCGGUCGCGCGCUGGAGUUGCCCGAACCUCUAUAGCCGCCUUCCCGAGCUCCUCAUCACUUCCACGCCCUCGACGCCACCUCCUCCCAACCAUUGGCACCUCCUAGCAGAGAUCUGCGUGAUGGGGUUGCUGGGGAGCGCGCGCCGUCCAGAGAGACAAGGCAGCUCCCAAGCACAGGAUCCAGCAGCGCUGGCUUCUCCUCUCCUGCGCCGCCGUUGUCCACCCAUCCUCAUCCCGUGCAAGCAUGAGCUUCUCCGGCAUCGACGGUGGCCUGCAGUCAAAGGACGACUGCGGCGGCGCUCGAUUCGAUCUACAGGAGAGAGAGAAGAUAUGAGGGAGAGAGAGAAGGAAGGAGAGGAAGGAUAAAGACAAAGGAAAGAGGAGAGGGGGGUGCGGCUGCGGACAUGAGAGGGCCACUGGAACGAGCACCGCUGGCUCGUCAUCCUACACAUCGCUCUGGAGAAAGAGGAGAGGGAGGUGCGGCGGCGGAUGGGAGAGGGUCACCGCAAGGAGCUCCGCCUGCUCGGGGUCGUUCACAUCGUGAUGGGGCAGAGAUACUUCUGUACAACCCUCAUGCCCUCAGAGUACACAAGUGGUUUCCCCUGAGGUCUCCUCCUUGCCCGGCUUGUUCAUUAAGAUCAGCAGGGGGAGGUUUAGGGUGAGACCUUCAAGAUGGAUUUGUUGUUGUUAUUAUUUCAGUUUGCGGAUAGAGGAUGUGGUUCCAGCAAGACAAAAAUGACGGUGAUGACAAGUGAGAUUUAUGUUAAGGAGUAUUAGCAGAUGCUCACAGGAUCACUGGAAGUAUAUAAAGGUAUCCACGACCAUGGUUGCUUUCCUAUCGACACAUAUAUGAAUUAUAAUUAUAAACAGUAAGAGUAGUUGUCUUUUCAUUUGUUAGAAAACAUAGUGUACAUAAUUAUAGCUGUAUGCAUCAUGUAUUUUCGUUAAAUCGCAACCUGUAAUUGUUUGAUGUCGUUAAAUGUCUAUAUUGUUUUGUUUACAUUCUUAAGUUGGCCUCCAUACUAUCUGCAUUGUCCUGGUAGCCUUGGCAGGUUAUAAUACACACAUCGAUAAUCCCGGUUCAGUUUGAGCUUUCCAUGUAAACUAAAAUAUUAGGAUCAUGACUUAACUUAAAUUAGCAGUAUAGUGUCAAUGGGCGUCAAUUGAAGCUAACAAGAUGUUGUUUACUAAAGAACAGCCCCUUGCUACUUGCACAGUACGUGGAAAAACACCCUAAAUAGAUUAAAGAAAUCAUACUUGACCGUGAUUACAUUUGGUUGACGCUUACAUGUAUUUCCCAUCAGUAGACCAAGUGGGUAAUCUUCUAUUUCAAGUCCAAGCUUUCAAUGCAUUUUCUCUUUUUUUUCAUGUCCCAGUGAUGAUUUGCAGGGCCGAAUUAUGCCAUUGUUGAUGGUGCACAGGUCUGUUGCAUGGUAAACCCAGUAUUGGCCGUCCUUUCAAGCUCCUUUGUUCAUCCUAGAGAAAAAACUGGAAAAUACAUAUGAACUAUAUUUUAAUCUUUCUAUAGUGCAUUGCUACGAUUACAUAUAUGGAUACAUCAUUUCGAUGUGUCAGGAGACCUAAAGCCUUUUAAGAGUUAACCGCCAAACUGGGGACUGGUGUCAUAAUUGCAGAUGGGCUUUGUUCAGUUAUUUUUUUGGGGCCUAGAACGAUGAUGUUUGCAGAUGGGCUUUAUUCUGUCAUAAGAGCUUAUCGAUCCAGCUUGCAUA
Molecule: long non-coding RNA, 1730 nt
Organism: Triticum aestivum (bread wheat)
Lineage: Eukaryota; Viridiplantae; Streptophyta; Magnoliopsida; Poales; Poaceae
Exons: 3
Source: RefSeq, a predicted model, not a curated record